ACGUCCUAAAACCUUCAACCAUGUACUUUGGUGUUUAGGGUUAGCCUCAUAGCUUGUGGAGUUCUUAUGUCAGUGUCUUCGAUCUCUGUUUCUGCUUCAAUCUCUGUUUCAGCAUCCCUCACACUCACACACUCUGUCUGCGCUCCACACCCACCCACCCAAUCUCUCCCUCCGCGCACUCUCUCUGUUUGCGAUUUCCAUUCUCAGGGCUCGCUUCUCUUCCACUGACGUCGCUGCUGGCCACCGCGAAACACACAGGCCACCACGUCGUCGUCGCUAACCAUACCCGCUUCUCUUCUCCUCCACCUUCACAUCCACCACGCGUUGGCUAUUUCGAGAAAACAGCGUCCACGACCACCGCGAAAACAGCGGAGCCACCGUCGGACUGCGAUUGGCGGACGAUUCCGACCGCCACGACCACCGCGAAGACAGACCCAUGGCCUUCAUCUUCUAUUUCCUUUCCUCCAUCAAAUCCUUCACUGCAUGCAACAAUUUCCAUGGUCACCUGCAGCUACAAAAUGUUCAAGUACUCCAAUAGAACCCGUCUCCCUCUUCGCCGAAGGCGCAGACUCCAUUUUUGCCGACCAGCGCCUCUGUUUUAUGCAUAAACACCAACACCACCUUCCUGGUAAUCCGAUUCUCACCAAGCUUUUUUAUGCAAAAAAAACAAAAAAAAAAUCUCAUGCUUAUCAACUCACAAGUGUUGUCUUUGUUGCUGUCAGAAGUUAACAUUGUUAUCUUUUUAUUUUUCUAUUUCUCUUUUCUUCAAUGAUACUUGUUGAUGUAUUAGUUUUGUUUUGUUCCUCUCAUUGAUGAUGUAGUAAUUCUAUGAGUGCGAGUGCAAUGUAACUUGAGAAUGAGAGAAUACUGUGAUUUGGAAAUUGGAACCAUUUAUGUUUCUCUUUGUAUUACAUUAAUGAUUAAUGAUAUCCUACUGAUACGAAGAUAGAACACCAUUUGAUUGGGUGAAAGGAAAAUUGUAGGAUUGUUUGUGA
Vigna unguiculata (cowpea) is the source of this 995-nucleotide long non-coding RNA. Lineage: Eukaryota; Viridiplantae; Streptophyta; Magnoliopsida; Fabales; Fabaceae. The record is from RefSeq and is a predicted model, not a curated record.